This 515-nucleotide unclassified non-coding RNA is filed under the name Hevea brasiliensis (rubber tree). Lineage: Eukaryota; Viridiplantae; Streptophyta; Magnoliopsida; Malpighiales; Euphorbiaceae. The record is from RNAcentral.
AAGAGUAGUUAGGCAGAGGCACACAGCCAGCUUCUAUCUGAUUCAAAUCUUCAACCAGAAGUUCAUAGUGAAGUUUAAUCUCUUCUUGAGUUUUCCCAGGUACAUCAGCUGCAAUUUUCUCCCAACGAUCUGGAGCAUCCUCAGGAUAUGUUGCAAGAGCAUUCUCAAAUGCCUUAUCCUGCUCUCUGGUCCACAAAGAGCUACAGCCCACUUCAUCCACAGUCAUCUAGACUUGUUUGAAUCCCCAAUCCGGAAUACACUCACAACACAAGGAAAGAAAUCUACCCAAGGUGCUUUAGAAGGUAGGCUAACCUAUAAGCCAAUCUCAAAAAGCAGGGAUUUUCUAGAACAGUUCUUGAAACUUAGAUCUGAAUUAUUUCUAUAAUUGGUAUCACCAACAACUGGAUAGAUGGUAGACUAAAAUUAUGGGAAAUCAGGAUGUGUCAGGAGAUAGAGGUAAGGAAGAAUAGAUACAGAGGAACCCCUAAAAAGGCCAAGAGUGCUGAACCAGAGAU